GCUCUCAAGGAGCGCUGCAGUGCCACCCCCACACGCUGGUGUCGGGGCUGGCGUCAGGCUUGAGAGCUCGGGCGUCCACCGCCCCGCCGGCUUGCCCGGCCCCAACGGCGCUCACCAGUU
This 120-nucleotide non-coding RNA is filed under the name Hydrogenophaga sp. RNAcentral describes it as "SAH sequence". It matches the Rfam family "SAH (S-adenosyl-L-homocysteine) riboswitch aptamer". The record is from RNAcentral. RNAcentral also lists the same sequence under 1 other name. Lineage: Bacteria; Pseudomonadati; Pseudomonadota; Betaproteobacteria; Burkholderiales; Comamonadaceae.